Molecule: RNA transcript, 1841 nt
Organism: Theobroma cacao (cacao)
Lineage: Eukaryota; Viridiplantae; Streptophyta; Magnoliopsida; Malvales; Malvaceae
Gene: CNX2
Gene name: cofactor of nitrate reductase and xanthine dehydrogenase 2
Source: RefSeq, a predicted model, not a curated record
CGUAGGAAUCUGCUCGAGGGAAAGGUUUGCUGAGUGGUUGACCUUUGGACAUUUGGGAGGAAGUUGAGAUAAAAGUAAGGAGGAAUGCAGGAGAGGAGAGGAGAGGAGAGGAGAGGAUAGGGACGGCGGAAAGGAGAGAAGAGAGGAGGAGCAAUGGAGAGAGAAGGGAAGAGAAUAUAAACACACAGAUUAAAUACAAAAAGAAAUAAAAUUAGAGAGGGAGCUUAAAAAAUCCAACUGAGAGGCACUCGAUUUGACUGCAAUUGCUUCAACAAGUUGUCUUAGUCGUCACAAUGAGGCGUUAUGUAUCUAGGAUUACCGACUGGAGCAUGCCCUUCGCCUCCUGGGCGUACUGUGAAGCUGCACCAAAGACCUAUGCAAGUUGCUGUGCUAAGACUAGAGAGGAUCCGUUAAAAGACAAAGACAAACGCAAUCCAGUUUCUGAUAUGUUGAUUGAUGGGUUUGGAAGGAUGCACACUUACUUGAGAAUCUCCUUGACAGAACGCUGUAAUCUACGAUGUCACUAUUGUAUGCCUGCAGAGGGAGUGGAGCUUACUCCUCCUCCCCAGUUACUCUCCCACCAUGAAAUUCUUCGUUUGGCUAAUCUCUUUGUUACUUCUGGAGUCGAUAAGAUUCGUCUCACCGGUGGUGAGCCCACACUUAGAAAAGAUAUUCAAGACAUUUGCUUAAGCUUGUCCGCCUUGAAAGGACUUAAGACUUUGGCAAUCACCACCAAUGGUAUCACUCUUGCCAGAAAACUUCCAAUGCUUAAACAAUGUGGGGUUACUUCUCUCAAUAUCAGCUUAGACACGCUUGUCCCUGCAAAAUUUGAGUUUUUGACUAGGCGUAAGGGCCAUCAGAGGGUCAUGGACUCCAUUAAUGCUGCCAUUGACUUUGGCUACAAUCCUGUAAAAGUCAAUUGUGUUGUUAUGCGUGGAUUUAAUGAUGAUGAGAUGUGUGAUUUUGUCAACCUCACACGUGAUAAACCCAUUAACAUUCGCUUCAUUGAGUUCAUGCCUUUUGAUGGAAAUGUCUGGAAUGUCAAGAAACUUGUGCCAUACUCGGAGAUGUUGGAUACAGUGUCAAAGCAAUUUCCAAGCCUAAAGAAGUUGCAUGAUCAUCCGACAGAGACAGCCAAGAAUUUCAAGAUAGAUGGCUACAUGGGUACUGUUUCUUUCAUUACAUCCAUGACUGAGCAUUUUUGUGCUGGUUGUAAUAGAUUGAGACUUUUAGCUGAUGGCAACUUCAAAGUAUGUCUCUUCGGUCCUUCAGAGGUUAGCUUAAGAGAUCCUCUUCGUUGUGGUGUUGGUGAUGAGGAACUUACAGAAAUAAUUGGAGCAGCGGUUAAGAGGAAGAAAGCUUCACAUGCUGGGAUGUUUGAAAUUUCAAAGACAGCAAAUAGACCUAUGAUACACAUCGGUGGCUAAGGUACUCAGAAUCCUUGUAAUGUAAUAAGAGAUCUGGCAUCUGGAUUGCUUUUGUGUUGGUCACAUUUUCAGUUCUUCCCCAUUAAGCACUAACGUAGAGCCAUGGCAGAACCAACUACCGUAAACACAUAAAAGGGCGUGGACAUGAACUCUACAAGCAGUCAACGAUGCAGGAGGCAUUUCGCCGCCAAAGCAUGAAAAUGGAAUUUCUGUUGAUACUCUGGGCAGAAGAGAUACUUAACUGCUGUACAUUGGGGAUUAAUGGCAGUGUUGUACUAGUAUUUUGGUAUUGCUAUAGUCUCAUUUUUCUUUCUUGUUUUUGAUUCAUUUAUGCUUUUCCAAAGUAAUAAUUCAAGUCGUAUUCUAACACCUAGAUAUUUAAAGAAUUAUACGAUUUUAAGAUAAUUUUCCAUA